UCUGGCAACGAACACACUACGCUGUCUGUUUUCUCCCAUCCAAGGGCUAUCCGGGAUUCAAAACAAGUAUGAUCGAGUUCAUUGUGCUGUGCUUGAUGUCUCUUGUUUCCGCACAAGCGAUGAAUACAAGUUCCGUUUCUCCUGCCCCACCAUGCAAGGACAACCAACGUUGUUCACAGUGUGACAGCACGACGGGAUAUUGCCUCGAGUGUACUGCUGGGUAUUUUGAUACGAGAUGCAGUUCUGUUUGCAAUAAGAAUUGUUUGAAAAGGAAAUGCACACUUUCAAGCAACGGCAAUGGCAACUGUACUGUCGGUUGCGUAUCUGGAUACCUAGGUACAGCCUGCGAAAUAACAUGUGACAAUCCAGGAGGUAACUGUACAGCAUGUCCAGGUGGGUGUGAUGGAGGAUAUUGUCAGCUGGGCUCCUCAUGUGUGUCUGGAUGUGUAGACUCCUACUAUGGGGCUGGAUGUAAGACGUGUUCAAGUAGGUGCAAGUCCUGAAACAGGACGGCAGGAGAAUGUACUGAGUGUCACGCUCCAUAUGUUGGUCCGAAGUGCGAAUGUCCACCCUGCAAUGGAACAUAUGAAGAUUGUGAAAUGGGUGGCUGUAAACAAGCAUCGUAUGAGAAUGACGAUCAGAAGACAGGCAGUGUGCUGACUUGGCUGUUGGCAUCACUGCUACUCCCUGUAUCGGGCAUCUUGCUGACACUCUGUCUCUGUUACUGCAAGCGUUUCCCCAAACAAAGGGAACAGGAGGAGCACCAGGAUCAGAUGCAUCAAGAUGAGGUGGAGUAUCUGCAGUACUUACCUACAGUACAGGGAGAUACACUUAAUACUAACCGUCAUUCGAAUCAUGCCUAUUAUGACGUUAUCGAUGGCGAGAAGGGUCCCGCCAUUGUGUUCCUGUGACCGCUGAUUAUAUGUUCCCUCGUUUAUGUUGUAUGACUUAUCUAUACACAACUGUUCACUGUCUAUUGAGCUAUCAAUUCCCUAUUUUGUCAAGCGUCAGGUCGCGCUAGUUGUUGAUGGCGUUGCUUUGUCGGUUUUAUCAGUGGUGAUCUUCUGUUUGUUAUUCCGCCUUCAUUUAGCUGACCCUGUUCCCAAAGUAUACAGCACUAUACUACAACAUUAACGUUAAAAACACGUGAAGUAUAUAUGGUGAGCUUCAGAUCGAUCAUGAUGCCAUGAACAUUGAUGCCACUACCCUAUACAGUAUACGUCUUUACUACCAGCUGUUAAUACGUGUGUCUAUUAGCAAUGUG
Molecule: RNA transcript, 1264 nt
Organism: Haliotis rufescens (red abalone)
Lineage: Eukaryota; Metazoa; Mollusca; Gastropoda; Lepetellida; Haliotidae
Exons: 5
Source: RefSeq, a predicted model, not a curated record